GACGAACGCUGGCGGCGUGCUUAACACAUGCAAGUCGAACGGAAAGGCCCUGCUUUUGUGGGGUGCUCGAGUGGCGAACGGGUGAGUAACACGUGAGUAACCUGCCCUUGACUUUGGGAUAACUUCAGGAAACUGGGGCUAAUACCGGAUAGGAGCUCCUGCUGCAUGGUGGGGGUUGGAAAGUUUCGGCGGUUGGGGAUGGACUCGCGGCUUAUCAGCUUGUUGGUGGGGUAGUGGCUUACCAAGGCUUUGACGGGUAGCCGGCCUGAGAGGGUGACCGGCCACAUUGGGACUGAGAUACGGCCCAGACUCCUACGGGAGGCAGCAGUGGGGAAUCUUGCACAAUGGGCGGAAGCCUGAUGCAGCAACGCAGCGUGCGGGAUGACGGCCUUCGGGUUGUAAACCGCUUUCGCCUGUGACGAAGCGUGAGUGACGGUAAUGGGUAAAGAAGCACCGGCUAACUACGUG
Molecule: ribosomal RNA, 468 nt
Filed under: uncultured bacterium
Lineage: Bacteria
Description: partial 16S ribosomal RNA
Rfam family: Bacterial small subunit ribosomal RNA
Source: RNAcentral